GGCGGCGUGCUUAACACAUGCAAGUCGAGCGGAAAGCCCCUUCGGGGUACUCGAGCGGCGAACGGGUGAGUAACACGUGAGCAACCUGCCCUAGGCUUUGGGAUAACCCCGGGAAACCGGGGCUAAUACCGAAUAGGACCGCUGGUCGCAUGACUGGCGGUGGAAAGUUUUUCGGCCUGGGAUGGGCUCGCGGCCUAUCAGCUUGUUGGUGGGGUGAUGGCCUACCAAGGCGACGACGGGUAGCCGGCCUGAGAGGGCGACCGGCCACACUGGGACUGAGACACGGGCCAGACUCCUACGGGAGGCAGCAGUGGGGAAUAUUGCACAAUGGGCGGAAGCCUGAUGCAGCGACGCCGCGUGAGGGAUGACGGCCUUCGGGUUGUAAACCUCUUUCAGCAGGGACGAAGCGUAAGUGACGGUACCUGCAGAAGAAGCACCGGCCAACUACGUGCCAGCAGGCGCGGUAAGACGUAGGGUGCGAGCGUUGUCCGGAUUUAUUGGGCGUAAAGAGCUCGUAGGCGGCUUGUCGCGUCGACUGUGAAAACCCGCAGCUCAACUGCGGGCCUGCAGUCGAUACGGGCAGGCUAGAGUUCGGUAGGGGAGACUGGAAUUCCUGGUGUAGCGGUGAAAUGCGCAGAUAUCAGGAGGAACACCGGUGGCGAAGGCGGGUCUCUGGGCCGAUACUGACGCUGAGGAGCGAAAGCGUGGGGAGCGAACAGGAUUAGAUACCCUGGUNGUCCACGCUGUAAACGUUGGGCGCUAGGUGUGGGGGGCCUCUCCGGUUCCCUGUGCCGCAGCUAACGCAUUAAGCGCCCCGCCUGGGGAGUACGGCCGC
RNAcentral lists this ribosomal RNA (835 nucleotides) under Micromonospora sp. IM-7009. Its description in RNAcentral is "bacterial SSU rRNA". It matches the Rfam family "Bacterial small subunit ribosomal RNA", at positions 38 to 889 of the family's 1533-position model. The record is from RNAcentral. Lineage: Bacteria; Bacillati; Actinomycetota; Actinomycetes; Micromonosporales; Micromonosporaceae.